RNAcentral lists this ribosomal RNA (253 nucleotides) under uncultured bacterium. RNAcentral's name for it is "partial 16S ribosomal RNA". It matches the Rfam family "Bacterial small subunit ribosomal RNA", at positions 524 to 776 of the family's 1533-position model. The record is from RNAcentral.
UACGUAGGGUGCAAGCGUUGUCCGGAAUUAUUGGGCGUAAAGAGCUCGUAGGCGGUCUGUCGCGUCGGCUGUGAAAACCCGGGGCUCAACCCCGGGCCUGCAGUCGAUACGGGCAGACUAGAGUGCGGUAGGGGAGACUGGAAUUCCUGGUGUAGCGGUGAAAUGCGCAGAUAUCGGGAGGAACACCGGUGGCGAAGGCGGUUCUCUGGGCCUUACCUGACGCUGAGGAGCGAAAGCGUGGGGAGCGAACAGG